This 536-nucleotide ribosomal RNA is filed under the name uncultured bacterium. RNAcentral describes it as "bacterial SSU rRNA". It matches the Rfam family "Bacterial small subunit ribosomal RNA", at positions 83 to 608 of the family's 1533-position model. The record is from RNAcentral.
CCGUGCCGGCGAGUGGCGAACGGGGUGAGUAAUGCAUCGGAACGUGCCCAUGUCGUGGGGGAUAACGUAGCGAAAGCUACGCUAAUACCGCAUACGUCCUGAGGGAGAAAGCGGGGGGAUCUUCGGACCUCGCGCGAUUGGAGCGGCCGAUGUCGGAUUAGCUAGUAGGUGAGGUAAAGGCUCACCUAGGCGACGAUCCGUAGCGGGUCUGAGAGGAUGAUCCGCCACACUGGGACUGAGACACGGCCCAGACUCCUACGGGAGGCAGCAGUGGGGAAUUUUGGACAAUGGGCGCAAGCCUGAUCCAGCCAUGCCGCGUGAGUGAAGAAAGGCCUUCGGGUUGUAAAGCUCUUUCGGCCGGGAAGAAAAUCGUGUUCUCUAACAUAGGACAUGGAUGACGGUACCGGACUAAGAAGCACCGGCUAACUACGUGCCAGCAGCCGACGGUAAUACGUAGGGUGCGAGCGUUAAUCGGAAUUACUGGGCGUAAAGCGUGCGACAGGCGGUUUUGUAAGACAGAUGUGAAAUCCCCGGGC